CAAUAAUGAGCGAGAAAUAUUGAAAUAUGUAACUAUAAUUACUGAAUAGUCUAUUUCUCCUUUCAAUUUUGUCAACUUUUGCUUCACUUAUUUUGGGGCUCUCUUUUUAGGUGCAAGUAUAUUUGUAAUUGCUGUAUCUUUUUGCUUCUUUGAAGUUUUUGUUUGUUAAACCUAACAUCUGGACCCCACUCAGACCUGUCUCCAUGUAUCAAGUGGCCCUAUAUAAGCAGUCACAUGGAGAGAACUGCAGCUUCCUGCCAACAGCCAUGUAAGUGAAUAUCGUGUUGGCUGCAGAUCCUCUAUCCCCAUUCAAGCCUUCGGAUGAUGACAGACACAGCUGACAUCUUAAUUAUAACCUCAUGAAAGACUCUGAGCCAAAACCACCCUGCUAGUCUACUCCUGAAUUCUUGACUUAAAGAAACUACGUGAGACAAUAAAUGUUUAUUGUUGUUUUAAACCAUUAAA
RNAcentral lists this long non-coding RNA (465 nucleotides) under Equus caballus (horse). Its description in RNAcentral is "lncRNA (ENSECAG00000057149.1)". Lineage: Eukaryota; Metazoa; Chordata; Mammalia; Perissodactyla; Equidae. The record is from RNAcentral.